RNAcentral lists this ribosomal RNA (467 nucleotides) under uncultured bacterium. RNAcentral's name for it is "partial 16S ribosomal RNA". It matches the Rfam family "Bacterial small subunit ribosomal RNA", at positions 28 to 506 of the family's 1533-position model. The record is from RNAcentral.
GACGAACGCUGGCGGCGUGCUUAACACAUGCAAGUCGAACGGAAAGGCCCUGCUUUUGUGGGGUGCUCGAGUGGCGAACGGGUGAGUAACACGUGAGUAACCUGCCCUUGACUUUGGGAUAACUUCAGGAAACUGGGGCUAAUACCGGAUAGGAGCUCCUGCUGCAUGGUGGGGGUUGGAAAGCUUCGGCGGUUGGGGAUGGACUCGCGGCUUAUCAGCUGGUUGGUGGGGUAGUGGCUUACCAAGGCUUUGACGGGUAGCCGGCCUGAGAGGGUGACAGGCCACAUUGGGACAGAGAGGAGACGCAGGCUCACAGGCGGGGAAGCAAUGGGCAUUAUCGCAGGAGGGGCGGAGGCCUAGUGCAGCAACGCCGCGUGCGGGAAGAGGGCCGUCGGGUUGGAAACCGAUUUCGCCUGUGACGAAGCGUGAGUGACGGUAAUGCGUGAAGAAGCACCGGCUAACAUGGG